GAUGAAAACGUAGCGAAAUGCGAUAAGUAGUGUGAAUUGCAGAAUUCAGUGAAUCAUCGAAUCUUUGAACGCACAUUGCGCCCCUUGGUAUUCCAUGGGGCAUGCCUGUUCGAGCGUCAUUUGUACCUUCAAGCUCUGCUUGGUGUUGGGUGUUUGUCUCGCCUCUGCGUGUAGACUCGCCUUAAAACAAUUGGCAGCCGGCGUAUUGAUUUCGGAGCGCAGUACAUCUCGCGCUUUGCACUCAUAACGACGACGUCCAAAAGUACAUUUUUACACUCUUGACCUCGGAUCAGGUAGGGAUACCCGCUGAACUUAAGCAUAUCAAUAAGCGGAGGA
This 336-nucleotide unclassified non-coding RNA is filed under the name soil metagenome. RNAcentral describes it as "partial contains 5.8S ribosomal RNA, internal transcribed spacer 2, and large subunit ribosomal RNA". The stretch from base 1 to 119 matches the Rfam family "5.8S ribosomal RNA", at positions 35 to 154 of the family's 154-position model. The record is from RNAcentral.